This 328-nucleotide unclassified non-coding RNA is filed under the name soil metagenome. Its description in RNAcentral is "partial contains 5.8S ribosomal RNA, internal transcribed spacer 2, and large subunit ribosomal RNA". The stretch from base 1 to 120 matches the Rfam family "5.8S ribosomal RNA", at positions 35 to 154 of the family's 154-position model. The record is from RNAcentral.
GAUGAAGAACGCAGCGAAAUGCGAUAAGUAAUGUGAAUUGCAGAAUUCAGUGAAUCAUCGAAUCUUUGAACGCACAUUGCGCCCCCUGGUAUUCCGGGGGGCAUGCCUGUUCGAGCGUCAUUUCAACCCUCAAGCUCUGCUUGGUAUUGAGUCCAUGUCAGCAAUGGCUGGCUCCAAAAUCAGUGGCGGCGCCGCUGGGUCCUGAACGUAGUAAUAUCUCUCGUUACAGGUGCUCGGCGUGCUUCUGCCAAAACCCCAAUUUUUCUAUGGUUGACCUCGGAUCAGGUAGGGAUACCCGCUGAACUUAAGCAUAUCAAUAAGCGGAGGA